CAAUGCGGAAGUGAUGAGCCAAUCAGCUGAUUAACAGGUGUUUAUCAGGUGUGCACCUGCAGUCACUUCUCUUAAUCCUCCUCCACCACCAGCACGUACUACCGUACGUUUGGUGCCAUCACAUCAAUUCAACAGCUGCCGAAGAACAAGAACAAGCCGCGACCAAGAACUCCUGGAGCUUUUAAACUCCAUUUCAUUCGGUAAAGCGUGUUUCUAGGAGGAAGGAUUUGGUUUUUAAAACCACCGCGCUUGUCAUGGCGGGCGUGUGACGUCAGACGCGCAGAAAGUCACACACUAUUCAAAAUGUGACUUAGUGUGAAGCGGCGGGCUUAUAUUUUAAAUAUUAUGCCCUACAUGAAUGAGGAUCGGAGACGGCGGGUCGACCUGGUCCAGAUUGAGGAUUUACCGAGAAAGACAUUUGUUUUUGCCACGAGACCGGGUUGAGCUGUCUGUCUUCACACACGGCACGUGCUGUGGAUAGACGGGUCUUCAUGAAGUCUUCUCAAAGUAAGGGGCGUUUGUAUUAUGGGAUGCCGCUGUGCUCCCAUGCUUUCUUGCUCUUGGCCGCCGGGCCUGCAUGUAUGGCUGCCUUGCCAGUACAUGUAUGCUUUAUGGUCGCUGUACCAAUUCUUCUUUUGAUCAUACCAUUCAUUCAAACAGGUGGCCAUGUUGGACCCAUGUCUCUUCUCUAUUAUAUUAGGAUUUAUCAACUCAACACUAGCCAAGACCUGACAAGGCUUGUGUGAGGGGUGAGAUGUGUAUUUUGUGCCCAAGGGGAGACAGUGGAGCAUAAGUUUGUCCUUUUGCUUUGUUGGCUGUGAAAGUCCCCCCUGGGUGUAUAAGUGUUAGACUGUCCUGGUCAGUUAGUUUUGUCUUGAACUGCUGAGCUAGUAAUGUAGAACUGUCUGUUUUUGGCACUAAAACUUAAGCAUCACUAAGUAACGUGGACAUUAUGUUUGUGUGUGGGCUGUGUGACAGUCUGGGUGUUGUUUUGCAUUGAAUGAGUGAGUGGUCGCAAUCAAGCCUUGAACCUUUCAGCUCAGCAGUGAAGUAGAUGAUUAAAGUGUGUUUGUCAUAGUGUGGUGUUACCUAGUCUGAAAAUGGUCACUGUACCAUGAAUAUAAAUAUGUGAAAUGGCUUGAUUAUGCGCUAACACUUCCUUUGUAGGUGUGUCUACAGAAGGUAAGAAUGAUUUUCAUUCUUUUUGGAUGGCUGCCGUGUCGGCCUCCCUAUCCCAUUUCUCUCUCCUGGUUUUCAAAAAAAAUAAUAUUAAUAUUAUUAUUAUUAUUAUUAUUAUUAUUAUUAUUAUUAAUAAUGAUAAUAAUAAUCAAAGUAGGGGGAAAAACUUAUUUAGUUGUCCGGGUCUCUCAAACCAGUGUACAUACUGGGUUAAAGCUUCAAAGCACAAUUUUGUCAAACUAAUAAAAAUAAAAGCCCAACCAUAUGAAAUGGUUUUCCUCCCAAUUUAGUCUGCUAAUAUAAUCAGCUUAGUUCCAGCCUUUAAAAAUUUUAAAACGAAGCUUCGCAGAUGUCCGUCCCUCGCUCACCUAUUUGUCCAACCAACAAGACUUCCACGCCAUGGGCCAGCACAAAUUCCUGGUGGAUCGCAGAAUGGUACAUCUUGGUUGUUGUGUGUGAGUAACUUUUUUUUCUUUAUGGGUGGGGUUGUGCUUGUCCUGUGCCAUAACCACACUUUUAUUUCAGCUCAUCCAACAAGGAGGACCACCCAUUUCUUCAUCCAAUUUCAUUUCACCGCAUUUCAUUUCACCGCAUUUCAUUUCCAUUUUCCCCGUUGGAUCUUCGAGCGAUGCAUUUCCAUUUUCCGUCCGUCGGUGCAUUUAUUUAUCAAAUACCGUAUUUAUUGGUAUAUAAUACAUUUUUACAAUACACUGUAAAAUGCAUUUUUUACAAUGAAUUGUAAAAUUUAUAAUAACAAAUGUUGCAAUAAUUUGAAAAAUGUAUUAUCACAUUUUACAAUAUAUUGUAACAUUUAUAAUUUAAUUUAAAAAUUAAAAUUUUCUUAGUGUAGGUGAGGGCUGUAAUGUAUUGUGUGCAAAAGUAAUUUUGCGCACUAUACAUGACAUUUUGUCAGCCUUGGUGCUGCAUUCAUAAAAUUAAACAUGGAGGAAUUAAUUUUUUUUCUAAAUUUACAAAAAAAAAGGAUUCUGGUUCGAGUUGGUAUUUGUUUGUUGUAGUUUUCUGGAUGACCAGGACAAAUCGGAUGAUUCUUGAGAUGGGAUUUAUUGACAGAGUAGGCUCAGUUAUAUUUUUAAGUUGUCUUUGUCCCUGCAACAGGGAAUAGGUUUCUCUCUGAUAUGGCUGCCAUGCCAUCUGUCUCCAUUAAGACCAGCAUGCUAUGACUCCAACAUGGUCACCUGUCCGUCCAAUUGUCGCUCCAUCUAAGUUUUAUUAAUAUACCCAAGUAGUUGCUAAACUAUCUGCCAUGAGUUUAGAACCUCUGUCCUAUCCUGUUCUCCUCAGACACACACAUGCACUCAUCACACACCUUGUCAGCAUUUCAGUUCAGCCAUCCAAUAGAACCACGUUAGUUGCGUCAAACAACUUCUACAAAUCUCUUUUUUCUUCAGUCUAGGCUGCUGUGCCUUGGCUUGACUGUGCUGGCUGCCAUGCCACGAGGCCUCACUUUUCCACAUCUUUCUAUCAGCCACUGUGCUGCUCUAUCAUUUCUUUCUCUAUAUCUGCCUUUUUUCCUGUGCUCUUGUCUUUGUCUCAAAAGGCUUAAGCUGUGUGUCUGCGUGUUUGUGUGUGGGUCCACGUUUGGAGUGACUGAGUUUCUUAAUUGACCGACAUCAAAGUUAACGUUAAAGUUAACGACAAGUUGGAGGAAUCCGUUGCCAUAGUUGGACUGAAUACUACUGAUGCUGCUACUACUGACUACUACUGACUACUACUGAUGCUGCUACUACUGACUACUAUUGAUACUGCUACUACUGAUAAUGCUACUACUGACUACUACUACUGAUAUAAGUACUACUGACUACUACUGGUACUGCUACUACUGACUACUACUGAUAUUAGUACUACUGACUACUACUGAUGGUAAGACAUUAAAGAAACCUAGUACAUUAGCAAAGCUUGAUAUUUAAGGAUCAUAGGAUAGGAAAAUGCUAUUGUCCUACUGCAAAAAUGUUUGACAGUCAAUAGGGUUAAAAUUAUAGGUAAUGCAGGAAAUGAAUAAAUAAAAAUUAAUUAAAUGUCUUCCCUUUGGGGCUUUUGAUGAGUAAUUUUCCCUUCCAGUUAUUCAGCCCAUGGAUAAUGCAUUAUGAAGUGUAAAAUAUAUUGACAUCUGAGAUUUUGCAUAUUUCAGUUAAAUGGUGGAGGUGCAUGUGCAGGCUUGACAAAGUCAAUUGUCCCUUUGCCUGUAAUUUUUAAUUAUACGUAUUUUUGAUAGGAAUUUUUAUUGCAUUUGUUGCACUCCACCAUCAAUACUAUUAAUGAUUAAGGCCGGUUUGUCGACUCUGCCAAGUUUAUUUUUUUCCUACUGGAGACUCAAGAAUUUUCUAUUUGCGCGUCAUGUUGGGAGGCCUCCCAGCAGGGGGAGUUAACCCACCCCUGCAAAAAAACAAUGCGUCACUCGAGUAGGAUCGUCAAAUACUCACUGCAAUGACAAGUUGCACAGUUUCACACAUGGUAUUGUCAUCACUUGGUAGGCGGGGGUACAAGAUAGAAGCGCGCUUGUGUUUCCUGGGAGGAAGCAAACUUGGCAGACGGACAAUUUUUGUUUAUUUAUUUUUUACCAUCUAUUGGUGGUGAAGUAAUCGAUGAUAAUCAAGAGUAUCAGGUUGAAUCCACAUUUUACUAUCUUCAGUUACCUGCUUUUGAUGCAGUUUAAUUUGAAACAUUACUGUGGGCUGAAUUUCAAAUGUCUAGAUAGUCAUAGGUUUAGUUUUGAAAUAGAAUGGGUUAUAUCACUCCAAUAUUUAUGGAAGUUUGAUUUGAAAAAAUGUAAAACUUAUUUUCCCAUGGUGAAGUUUGUAGUGCAGAUAAAAGCAUUUUUUUUCCCCCAGUAUUCGUCAGGGAUGCCCCCUAGAUUAAAAGCCUAUACGUACCAAAUUGACUGUUUGACAAUCUUAGCAGUAUACUUAAUAAUCCUAAAUGUUAAAUAAAAAAAAAAGUUAUAGGGAAUUUCAGCUUUUAUUGAAACAGUGUAGCUAUAGGAUGGCAGAGGGAGGGGAGCGAUGGCAUCCAGCUAUGGGCCCCGGCUGGAUUCCACCCAAGGCUGCUAUGGUAAGAAAGCCUGCAUCGUAUACACAGGUGAGCUACUGGUGCACUGACAUGAUAAAUUCCGAAAAAAACUGUAAAUGCCUGAUUUUACUCUUUGCUGAAUUGGUGCAGAUCCCACGGCCCGAUGGUGAUAGAGGCCAUGGAAGGUUCCGGUUCCUCUGCCACCAGGAAAAUCUACUCGGGAGGUGAUGGAGGCCAUGGAAGGUUCAGGUUCCUCUGCCACCAGGAAAAUCUACUCGGGAGGUGAUGGAGGCCAUGGAUGGUUCCGGUUCCUCUGCCACCAGGAAAAUCUACUCGGGAGGUGAUGGAGGCCAUGGAAGGUUCAGGUUCCUCUGCCACCAGGAAAAUCUACUUGGGACCCUGUGAGCCGGAGAUGCCCCGUCCAGAUUGCAGUGUCAAAGCCAAGCGGUACUCCUCCUGUCUCGAAGAUACCCCUUUGCCAUGGGAUGUCUUCAGAUUUCAACCUUUUCGGAGCUGUGAGACCUGAGCUUGUCAAGCCCUGCACACUAUCUUACAUGCAGACCUCGCUUCUGAACGACUGCUGCGUGUCGGCAAACCACACGAUUUGAUAAACUGUUCUACAGACUCGAACACAAACACCAAUACUCAUUCUGCACACACCACUCUUAUCACCCAACAUUAUGCUCACCCACCACUGGACUGACAAAAAGCAGACAACUUGAAAUGUUUGAUCCUAAUUUGUUUAAAUGUUUGAUAAACUACUUGAGGGUGUAUAAUGCAAUCCUUCGGUUUGUGAAGCGUUGGAUUUUGUCCAACGGUUCACAAACUGUUGGGUUUUGUCCAUAGAAAGAUGCAUGCGCUCUUGCAUGCCCUAAUUUCAUAUUUGUACAUUUGAGAAAAAUCGGUUGGGGUUUAAUGAGCUGGGUCUCCUUAACAUUACAGAGAACAAGGUAAACGAGUCUACUCAAUAGAUGGUAAGGAUUUUAUCCCUUCCCCUUAUUCUCUGUAUGCGAGGACAUCUGACCAUGAAUCCUUACUGAAUUGUGUACCAUGGUUGCGCAGUUUCCAAAACUAGACUUGGAUCCAUCUAGUUUUGUGAAUCAGCUCACCAAUGGUAUGCAACAAGUCCCCAUCAUGGAGACAGCUGAUGGGACGGCGUGAAUCUAAUGCAUUUGGGGAAAUUAGUCUUACCAUAUUACUGAUGGUAAGACAUAAAAGAAACCUAGUACAUUAGCAAAGCUUGAUAUUUAAGGAUCAUAGGAUAGGAGAAGGCUAUUGUCCUACUGCAAAAAUGUUUGACAGUCAAUAGGGUUAAAAUUAUAGGUAAUGCAGGAAAUAAAUAAAUACAAAUUAAUUAAUUAAAUUCCUUCCCUUUGGGGUUUCUGAUGAGUAAUUUUCCCUUCCAGUUAUUCAGCCCAUGGAUAAUGCAUUAUGAAGUGUAAAAUAUAUUGACAUCUGAGAUUUUGCAUAUUUCAGUUAAAUGGUGGAGGUGCAUGUGCAGGCUUGACAAAGUCAAUUGUCCCUUUGCCUGUAAUUUUUAAUUAUAUGUAUUUUUGAUAGGAAUUUUUAUUGCAUUUGUUGCACUCCAUCAUCAAUACUAUUGAUUAAAGAGGGUUUGUCGACUCUGCCAAGUUUAUUUUUUUCCUACUGGAGACUCAAGAAUUUUCUGUUUGCGCGUCAUGUUGGGAGGCCUCCCAGCAGGGGGAGUUAACCCACCCCUGCAAAAAAACAAUGCGUCACUCGAGUAGGAUCGUCAAAUACUCACUGCAAUGACAAGUUGCACAGUUUCACACAUGGUAUUGUCAUCACUUGGUAGGCGGGGGUACAAGAUAGAAGCGCGCUUGUGUUUCCUGGGAGGAAGCAAACUUGGCAGACGGACAAUUUUUGUUUAUUUAUUUUUUACCAUCUAUUGGUGGUGAAGUAAUCGAUGAUAAUCAAGAGUAUCAGGUUGAAUCCACAUUUUACUAUCGUCUUCAGUUACCUGCUUUUGAUGCAGUUUAAUUUGAAACAUUACUGUGGGCUGAGAAAGGUCGAGAUAGUCAAAGGCUUAGGUUUAGUUUUGAAUAGAAUGCGUUAUAUCACUCCAAUAUUUAUGGUGGUUUGAUUUGAAAAAAUGUAAAACUUAACAUUACAGAGAACGAGGUAAACGAGUCGACUCAAUAGAUGGUAAGGAUUUUAUCCCUUCCCCUUAUUCUCUGUAUGUGAGGACACCUGGCCAUGAAUCCUUACUGAAUUGUGUACCAUGGUUGCGCAGUUUCCAAAACUAGACUUGGAUCCAUCUUUUUCGCUCUCUGCACAGUUGCCAUUUGCUGGCUCUUUAUGUGGACUGUUUUUGUAUUAUUGCAAGUGCCUUGUGAUUUGCCCCUAUUACAAUUUUAAGUAAAAUAAUGCUAACAUAACUCAUACUGUUAAGAUUGAUCUUUUGGAAAUGAAUAGAAUCUGUUGACAAAUGUGUUAAUGGUACUCUUAACUGGU
Molecule: long non-coding RNA, 6681 nt
Organism: Solea solea (common sole)
Lineage: Eukaryota; Metazoa; Chordata; Actinopteri; Pleuronectiformes; Soleidae
Exons: 4
Source: RefSeq, a predicted model, not a curated record